RNAcentral lists this ribosomal RNA (458 nucleotides) under uncultured bacterium. RNAcentral's name for it is "partial 16S ribosomal RNA". It matches the Rfam family "Bacterial small subunit ribosomal RNA", at positions 338 to 795 of the family's 1533-position model. The record is from RNAcentral.
CCUACGGGUGGCAGCAGUGAGGAAUAUUGGUCAAUGGGCGAGAGCCUGAACCAGCCAAGUCGCGUGAGGGAGUACUGCCCUAUGGGUUGUAAACCUCUUUUGUCGGGGAGCAAAAGCCGGACGUGUCCGGCUGUGAGAGUACCCGAAGAAAAAGCAUCGGCUAACUCCGUGCCAGCAGCCGCGGUAAUACGGAGGAUGCGAGCGUUAUCCGGAUUUAUUGGGUUUAAAGGGUGCGCAGGCGGAUUUUUAAGUCAGCGGUAAAAUCGUGGGGCUCAACCCCAUCCAGCCGUUGAAACUGGGGAUCUAGAGUGUGCGAGAGGUAUGCGGAAUGCGUGGUGUAGCGGUGAAAUGCAUAGAUAUCACGCAGAACCCCGAUUGCGAAGGCAGCAUACCGGUGCACAACUGACGCUCAGGCACGAAAGCGUGGGUAUCGAACAGGAUUAGAUACCUCAGUAGUC